CGGGGGGGGCAAGCGUUGUUCGGAAUUACUGGGCGUAAAGGGCUCGUAGGCGGCCAACUAAGUCAGACGUGAAAUCCCCAGGCUCAACCUGGGAACUGCGUCUGAUACUGGAUGGCUUGAAUCCGGGAGAGGGAUGCAGAAUUCCAGGUGUAGCGGUGAAAUGCGUAGAUAUCUGGAGGAAUACCGGUGGCGAAGGCGGCAUCCUGGACCGGCAUUGACGCUGAGGAGCGAAAGCCAGGGGAGCAAACGGGAUUAGAUACCCCGGUAGUCCUGGCCCUAAACGAUGAGUGCUUGGUGUAACGGGUAUCGAUCCCUGUUGUGCCGUAGCUAACGCAUUAAGCAUUCCGCCUGGGGAGUACGGUCGCAAGGCUG
RNAcentral lists this ribosomal RNA (372 nucleotides) under uncultured organism. RNAcentral describes it as "bacterial SSU rRNA". It matches the Rfam family "Bacterial small subunit ribosomal RNA", at positions 526 to 896 of the family's 1533-position model. The record is from RNAcentral.